This is a long non-coding RNA of Sinocyclocheilus grahami, 302 nucleotides long. RefSeq lists it as uncharacterized. NCBI's taxonomy places the organism in Eukaryota, Metazoa, Chordata, Actinopteri, Cypriniformes, Cyprinidae. The transcript has 3 exons. The record is from RefSeq and is a predicted model, not a curated record.
CCUAAUGACGCACCGGAGUGUUUUAGCUGGGAGUAACUCGUGAUUGGCUGAAUCACGCAGCCAUUUGAAAUCCACGCAGCUGAACCAGGAACUACGGAGAAGAUUCUUCCCCUCUUUUAAGUGGUGAAUGAAGGAUGGGGAAAAAGGAUGCAAGUUCUGUCAAGUUGCCGGUCGAUCAGUACCGUAAACAGAUCGCCACUGUCAUUAUAUUGCUUAUGAAUGUUAUGCAUGAACAGACUUGAUGAUCAGAAUGCUCAGCUGGGAACAGACCAGCGUGUUUAAGAAAAAGCCCAAAAUAAAUA